AGCCUUACAAUAACUGAUCUUGGUUCUGAGAUGAGGACGAAGGAAGCGGGAAUCGUAUUU
RNAcentral lists this small RNA (60 nucleotides) under Arabidopsis thaliana (thale cress). Its description in RNAcentral is "ATSL059230". The record is from RNAcentral. Lineage: Eukaryota; Viridiplantae; Streptophyta; Magnoliopsida; Brassicales; Brassicaceae.